RNAcentral lists this transfer RNA (74 nucleotides) under Candidatus Moranbacteria bacterium CG_4_9_14_3_um_filter_40_7. RNAcentral describes it as "tRNA-His". It matches the Rfam family "tRNA". Rfam says of the family: Transfer RNA (tRNA) molecules are approximately 80 nucleotides in length. Their secondary structure includes four short double-helical elements and three loops (D, anti-codon, and T loops). Lineage: Bacteria; Candidatus Moraniibacteriota. The record is from RNAcentral.
GUGGCUAUAGUUUAGUGGUAAAACACGAGUUUGUGGCACUUGGGUCGAGAGUUCGAUUCUCUCUAGCCACCCCC